RNAcentral lists this ribosomal RNA (245 nucleotides) under uncultured Eubacteriales bacterium. Its description in RNAcentral is "uncultured Clostridiales bacterium partial 16S ribosomal RNA". It matches the Rfam family "Bacterial small subunit ribosomal RNA", at positions 796 to 1041 of the family's 1533-position model. Lineage: Bacteria; Bacillati; Bacillota; Clostridia; Eubacteriales. The record is from RNAcentral.
CACGCCGUAAACGAUGGAUACUAGGUGUAGGGGGUAUCGACCCCCCCUGUGCCGCAGUUAACACAAUAAGUAUCCCACCUGGGGAGUACGGCCGCAAGGUUGAAACUCAAAGGAAUUGACGGGGGCCCGCACAAGCAGUGGAGUAUGUGGUUUAAUUCGAAGCAACGCGAAGAACCUUACCAGAACUUGACAUCCCUCGCUAUCUGUUGAAAGACAGAGUUCCCUCGGGACGAGGAGACAGGUGG